This 500-nucleotide ribosomal RNA is filed under the name uncultured bacterium. RNAcentral describes it as "partial 16S ribosomal RNA". It matches the Rfam family "Bacterial small subunit ribosomal RNA", at positions 29 to 523 of the family's 1533-position model. The record is from RNAcentral.
AACGAACGCUGGCGGAAUGCUUUACACAUGCAAGUCGAACGGCAGCACGGACUUCGGUCUGGUGGCGAGUGGCGAACGGGUGAGUAAUACAUCGGAACGUGCCCAGUCGUGGGGGAUAACGUAGCGAAAGCUACGCUAAUACCGCAUACGAUCUAAGGAUGAAAGCGGGGGAUCGCAAGACCUCGCGCGAUUGGAGCGGCCGAUGGCAGAUUAGGUAGUUGGUGGGGUAAAGGCUCACCAAGCCGACGAUCUGUAGCUGGUCUGAGAGGACGACCAGCCACACUGGGACUGAGACACGGCCCAGACUCCUACGGGAGGCAGCAGUGGGGAAUUUUGGACAAUGGGCGCAAGCCUGAUCCAGCCAUUCCGCGUGCAGGAUGAAGGCCCUCGGGUUGUAAACUGCUUUUGUACGGAACGAAAAGGCUCUGGUUAAUACCUGGGGCUCAUGACGGUACCGUAAGAAUAAGCACCGGCUAACUACGUGCCAGCAGCCGCGGUAA